This is a long non-coding RNA of Spinacia oleracea (spinach), 3256 nucleotides long. RefSeq lists it as uncharacterized. The transcript is spliced from 6 exons. The record is from RefSeq and is a predicted model, not a curated record. Lineage: Eukaryota; Viridiplantae; Streptophyta; Magnoliopsida; Caryophyllales; Amaranthaceae.
UCUCUUUAAUCUCUCAAUUUACAUGAAUUAAUUAUGAAUUAUUGAAUUAUUUUCCAAUUCUAUUUUUUAAUUUCUAGGGUUUGUGUAAUUGUGGUAAUUAUAGAAGUAAUUGUCUUUAAAAUUCAUCUAAUUUUGUAAUUUCUUUUGUGAAUUUCGUUUUUUUCCGCUGUGAAUUUCGUGGCUAGUUUGUAGCCUGCCUCAUAUGCAAGGUUAGAGUUGUACAAUUGUGCCCUUAACCAACUAAUUGUGCAGUCUAAAUUACGUUUAUCAAAAGUUUAUAUUACCCGGGUCGAGUGGAUUCAAAUCUAGUUUAAGAUUUAUAAUGAUUUGCGGACUUUGUGGUUUAAAAAUUUGUGUGCUUGCUAUUUGCUAGUAUCAUAGUUGAGUAAUUCUGUAGUAAAUAUAGUUGUCGUUUGAUCGAAUAGAACUUAUAUUGUUAUAAGUGAAAUAAACCCUUAUCAAUUGUUAAAUCUGUGGCACAUAUCCAUUUGUUGCUAUGACUAGUGCAGAAUUAUGCAUCAUUCUUGGAUGAGUUACUGGUCACAUAAUAUCGAGGGUGUCAGCUUUUUGAGAUGAUCCUAAUUAUCCUGUAGAGUACAGACUAAAGCUAGUAUAUCAAUGGGUAUGGUGAUCUGAUUCCUUUUAGUAUACACUGCUAUAAUUUUAAGUGUUUGACCUUGAUGCAAUCAGAUUGGCUGCUUUGUUCUUUGGUAACUUCUGUUUUGGAACAUUGGUUGAAGUAUUGAGCUACAAAAAUCCAUCAAUAUUUUCUUUGGUGUGUCGAGCUAUACUUUCUAGUCAACUCCAUUGUGUUUGUAGAUGUAGCCUAUGGGCUCCAGAUUCCCUAUUUUAUUGAUUGCUUGUAGGCUAUCAUGGCUUAGAUCCAUAUGUUACCCUCUUUUGCCCCCAAACCCACAAGCUUAGAAGUAUUGUUAUCAAAAUAGCAUGCACUUCAGGACUCCUUAAUGGAAGUCAUAAAUAUCUGGUACACCCACACACUCUUAAUUUCAGGUAAGCAUGUUAUCAAGAGCCCCACACCUAGAGUAGCUACAACAACACCACCAAUCAACAUUCAAACCACAUCACAGUAUCACACUCUAAAAAAUACAACCUCUAUUUGGCAUAAAGUCAGGGGAGCAAAGUUCUAGUUGCAAGAUGGUGAAAGCUUGAUAAUUGGUUAACUGAAUCAACCGAUCAAACAAAAAAGAACUGAAAAUUUUGUAGUCAGAGUUGCCAUCCUAGCUCUAAUCCAAAUGCUAUAUUGUGCAUCUUAUGAGAGGGAGAGAAAGAACUAAAGACGAACAAACCAAUGUCAUGUAUUGUAAAUGUAGAUUUUGGUACUAGUCAUACAACCGUCAUUGUAAACUCCGUUUACUACGUCUCCAGCAAACUCUGAGUUUCUAACUAAUUUCUAACAUAUCUCUUCUAAUAGCUGCACAGUUAUGGGUUACAAAUACAUAAUAGAGUAGUUGGCUAGGUUGUUGUUACACAUAGAAGGCUCCUGACACAACAACCAAGAUAAGUGUUCUGAAGCUCGUUGUUCAUCAAACUUCAGACUUACAUAACAAGCUCACAAGUGCGAUGGACGAAAUCUAUGAGAGGGUGGAUACUCUAACUUACCAGGAUUAUCAUUAUUCCAAAGUGGAAAUGGAUAAAAAGCUUAAGCUAACCCAUUAAAAUACUUCCACAGAAAAGAGAAAUGCGUAUAACCUGUACAUGUAAGAACAACACUAAGCAAAACUAAAUUAAGGGUAGUCUAGAAUGAAUAAAACCAUAAAUCAUAGACAUUGUAUCAACAGUAUGCAAGUUCCAGAAGAUGUUAAGUAUAUUUUUUCAUUCAUGAAAUUGCAGAAAGACCCACUCAAGUCAUCACAAUGAAUAUUCUGAUUAGUUCCUGGAUAAAAUUAUUUUUACAAUACUCGAAACUUGCUAGUGUAACAUUUUCCUUUAUCUUUGUUCAAUAACAUCGCCGUCUAACAGUGACUAAUCCACUUUCUUCUUUUGCAAAAACAUGCAAUCUCUUUUUGUACAUAGCAAAUAAAUUGAAGUUUUCCAAUUUAAGUGGGAGAGUGAUGAAUAAAAGCCCAAAUCAAACCCAUAAAUCUUAACUGGUCAUUAUCAAGAACCACCACAUCAUUUAGAGUUGCAAGGUGCAGCCAAUGACACCAUAACUAAUUAUUCCACUAACAUUUGAGGUACCACUUUCCCGGGAUUCCAAUAUGCGAUGGCAGGAACGUAUUAACUGUUGUCCUAAAGGCUAAUCAGUCUAAUCAAAUCACAUCAAAAGGAAAGGAAAGGGACGCUAUUGACCGGAAACACCAUCUAGGGGAUCAUACUUAUGUCUCAGUAACUGAUAGUGGUUAAUGGCAGAUAGAGCUAGAAGGUCUUGACAUUGCAAACAGUUUAAAAGGUCACUGUUCGACAGAAUACUGCAUCAUGUGAAGAGAUGGCUACAACAAUGUCUACGGGCCUACGACAGAAUCUGUAGCUCAUAAAGGACUACCUCAAUGCAUUGUUACUGUGAUGGCUGAGGUUGAUCUAACUGAAUCCUAGACACUGGAGAGACAUGAAUUUGUGUUUGAUGCGGUGCUACACGAAAAUGUCUCAGAUGAUGCAGUGUAUGCUGAAAGAGUGAAGCCUGUUGUCCCACUGAUAUUCCAAAAGGCAAAAGCAACAUGUUUUGCAUAUGGUCAAACAGGCUUUUCCCAAAUGGCGUUGACGGAGAGAAACCUUCAGAAGUGACAGAGAUGCCAGCUGCUCCUGUACACCCUUUCCACUCCAAGAUGAACAUUCGAAGAGGGAUACUACAAGAAGAAAGUGCAGACAUAAUAUAGCACUUCUCCCGACUCAAAAGGAGGAAGGCUAAGGAAAAGGAAAAGGAUAUAUCAUCAUCCGAUGAAUCAGGCCAACGGUUUAGGUUUGCUUGGACCUGAUUUAUAUUCUUGUCUGAAGAUACUGGGAUUAUGUGUGUCUGCUAUAUAAGUUGUCAAAUGUUUUCGGUUUCGCGUGGAAAAUAUCAAAUGUCUGCUAUAUAAGGUAGCUUAUUGAAUGUUUGGCACGGCAGUUAACCUGUCCUAUCACUAUUUAGGUCGUUUAUUUUUGUAAACAUAUGAUGGUUGGCUUAUAUGUGAAAAUCAAAGUUUCUUGGAAGUUAUUGGUGGUUGACGAUACUUUUGGAAAAAUCAAAGUUUCUUGGAAGUUAUUGGUGGUUGAUGAUACUUUUGGACAUUGUAUAAAUAUGGCGUGAGUACAGGUU